CACUGCCACAAAACAACGACAACCCAGGACAGAGAACGUGAAACACGCACACGUCAGUUCAGGACUGUGUGUGUUUGAGUUUGAGAUUUAGUUUUCUGCGCGUGUGUGAAUGCGUGCGAGCACACGUCGUUGUGAACUGUGUGUGGCUGCACACGUGCACACACACACAUGCAUGGAUACUCUGGAAACAUACAGGGUGCUUUUCAUGCCAUAAAGUUCUCACCGAUCAGUGUUCCUAAAGGGACAGUUUGACAGGUUUUUUUUUUUUCGUUCAGAAAAAGAAAUGUGGACUUGUAUAAAGAAAUGACAAAAAGCCAGAACUGGGACCAGAAACCGAACUGAGACAUUGAUUCUGACUUUUCAUAAAAGCCCGACUGCCAGCAGGGACACAAGAAAUGGAAGUUUAGAUCUUUGACAAAAUCUUUACCUCAAAAUGGUGUCUGGGUUCCUACAUUGCUAUAUUCCAGUGUGUUAAUGUGUGCCUUUUAUUUUGAAAUUCUUUGUUUGGAUCUACAUUUAUAACACAGACGUAUUGAUUGGAACAGGAGAGGUAAAUGAACGAAAUUUAGCAUGU
This is a long non-coding RNA of Cynoglossus semilaevis (tongue sole), 574 nucleotides long. RefSeq lists it as uncharacterized. The record is from RefSeq and is a predicted model, not a curated record. NCBI's taxonomy places the organism in Eukaryota, Metazoa, Chordata, Actinopteri, Pleuronectiformes, Cynoglossidae. The transcript is spliced from 2 exons.